This 73-nucleotide transfer RNA is filed under the name Microlunatus sp. RNAcentral describes it as "tRNA-Arg". It matches the Rfam family "tRNA". From Rfam's summary of the family: Transfer RNA (tRNA) molecules are approximately 80 nucleotides in length. Their secondary structure includes four short double-helical elements and three loops (D, anti-codon, and T loops). RNAcentral also lists the same sequence under 1 other name. The record is from RNAcentral. Lineage: Bacteria; Bacillati; Actinomycetota; Actinomycetes; Propionibacteriales; Propionibacteriaceae.
GCCCUCGUAGCUCAGCGGAUAGAGCAGGAGCCUUCUAAUCUCUUGGUCGUAGGUUCGAUUCCUACCGGGGGCG